GGUAAUUGUGACAAGAACUGAGAUUGAUAUGCAAUAUAUAAAAGCUGAAUACCUGAAGAAGUACAAAAAGACAUUGAAUGAUGCAGUUCAUUCAGAAACAUCAGGCCAUUAUCGAGCUUUCCUUCUUGCCCUUUUGGGCCCCAAUCAAUAGCUGAAACAUGAGAGUUGUAUGUCUAAAUAUUAUUAAGUUUGGGGUUAGUAGUUUUCUCAAGAUUGUAUGGUUGUGAUAUAAAUUUAUUUUUCAUUGAAGUGCAGAAGAGGACGUGGGUUUCAAUAGUAUGGAUUUUCUUGUCCAAACCUGAUUCAUCAUUG
This 312-nucleotide unclassified non-coding RNA is filed under the name Hevea brasiliensis (rubber tree). Lineage: Eukaryota; Viridiplantae; Streptophyta; Magnoliopsida; Malpighiales; Euphorbiaceae. The record is from RNAcentral.